GUUAGUGGCGAAAGGGUGAGGAAUAGAUAGGAACGUACCCUGUGCUCUGGGAUAGCGUCUGAAGCUUCGGCUUCUUCCGAAAGGGGCGGUAAUACCAGAUAAUGUCCUUCGGGACCAAAGAUUUAUCGGCAUUGGAGCGGCCUAUCUCCUAUCAGCUUGUUGGUGAGGUAACGGCUCACCAAUGCAACGACGGGUAGCGGGACUGAGAGGUUGGCCCGCCACAUCGGGACUGAGACACUGCCCGGACCUCCACGGAGGGCUGCAGUAACGGAUAUUGGGCAAUGGGCGAAAGCCUGACCCAGCAAUGCCGCGUGCAGGAUGAAGCCCCUAGGGGUGUAAACUGCUGUCAGGGGUCAGAAAGCUGGUUUCGGCCAGUUGAUCAACCCCAGAGGAAGUCACGGCUAACUUCGUGCCAGCAGCCGCGGUAAUACGAAGGUGGCAAGCGUUAUUCGGAAUCAUUGGGCUUAAAGGGCACGCAGGCGGAACAGUGUGUGUUGUGUGAAAUCCCCCGGCUUAACCGGGGAAUUGCACAGCAAACUGCUGUUCUUGAGGCAGGUAGGGGUGCAUGGAACUCUUGGUGGAGCGGUGGAAUGCGUAGAUAUCAAGAGGAACGCCAGAGGUGAAGACGGUGCACUGGGCCUGUCCUGACGCUGAGGUGCGAAAGCGUGGGGAGCGAACGGGAUUAGAUACCCCGGUAGUCCACGCCGUAAACGAUGUCUACUAGGUCGUGGGUGUUCUGACACAUUCACGGCCGGAGCAAAAGUGUUUAGUAGACCGCCUGGGGUAGUACGGCCGCAAGGUUAAAACUCAAAUGAAUUGACGGGGGCUCACACAAGCGGUGGAGCAUGUGGAUUAAUUCGAAGCAACGCGCAGAACCUUACCUGGGUUUGACAUGCUUGUAUGCCUUCUCUGAAAGGAGUUAGGCUGCCUUCGGGUGAAACUUGCACAGGUGCUGCAUGGCUGUCGUCAGCUCGUGUCGUGAGAUGUCGGGUUAAGUCCUUUAACGAGCGAAACCCUUGCCGUUAGUUGCCAGCGAGUAAUGUCGGGGACUCUAACGGGACUGCCGGUGUUAAACCGGAGGAAGGUGGGGAUGACGUC
Molecule: ribosomal RNA, 1098 nt
Filed under: uncultured organism
Description: bacterial SSU rRNA
Rfam family: Bacterial small subunit ribosomal RNA
Source: RNAcentral